Long non-coding RNA from Bactrocera oleae (olive fruit fly), 1256 nucleotides. RefSeq lists it as uncharacterized. NCBI's taxonomy places the organism in Eukaryota, Metazoa, Arthropoda, Insecta, Diptera, Tephritidae. The record is from RefSeq and is a predicted model, not a curated record.
UAACGGAUUUCUCGAUAAAUUGUCUACCUGUAAUUCAAUCUUGAGUUCGAUCACUGAAUCGUUAAAUUAAAGUCCCAAUUUAAUGGCUAUACAGUUAUCUUUAUUUCUAAUCCAAAGAAUUUAACUCUUAUUACUCAUUAUUCGAGCUUACAACUUAUUGCUUAUAGCUCAAACAGAGAACGUAAAUGAACGAGAAUGUGCAAAUUGAAUUUUGUAUGAUGUUUGAUUCGACGGCUAACAGAGCUGAAAAAUUCCGAUCAGGGAGUUCAUCAUUUUUCGGGAGGUGUUCGCCACAAUAUAUUAAUUACCAGAGAGCGCUACCACAGCGUUCUGAGUUCUUGCGUUAUAUAUGCAGUAGUUUGCAUGUUAAUGGUUACAAUGCAUUGGAGUUUUGGGUAGUCGGAACUUAUAUUUUUAAAACAUAUGUUCUGACACUGGAGCAGCGCGCAAAUAGAAAAAUGUUUACCUGGAGGUCAUUUAACAGAGCCUUUUUGUAGUUUUAAAACUCAACAAGAGAUUUAAAAUUUCGUGAUCUGUACGAACUGUAGAACGGCCGCCAGUGCUGAAAGGAGUUCGACGUGGAAGAACCUAUGCAAACUUUGUUAUUUAUUUGAUUUUUUUUUUAAAUUCAUUGUUUGAAAAAUAGAAAUAUUGAAAAAAAUGGACGGUAAAUGUAUAGGUUAGGUCCCUCAAUUAAGGAGGCGUCAAAAAUGAAUUUUUUUUUUUAAAUCGUCUUAUUUUUACUCGUAGAUUACAAAUCCGUGAGCGGAAAGUGAAAUUUUUUAAUAAUAUAUGUAUAUUUUUCAAAUUUAUAUAACACACUUCGCACAUAUCACAUAUUCAAGUCACUUAAUUGUUGUUGUAUGGGCAAAAUUCUGUAGAAUUCAGAUCACUUAGCUGUAAUUACCAGUUCAGCGUGUUAAACAUUUUCUUAUGAAGAAAAUAUACUGAAGAAAUGUAACAGUCACAAUUUCUUUUGCGCCGCGAUCGUCGAACUCCUUUCCGCACCGGGGUGUUCAUAAUUCAAUCGCGUCAAACUCCCUUGUGCACUGGCGGCCGCGCUUCAAAAAAAUAACCCUGGUCGGUUCAAAACCGGGGUGUUCAUAAUUCAAUCGCGUCAAACUCCUUUUCGCUGCUCUCAACCUCGAUGAUAAUUUUCAUCACGAUGCAAAAAACGUUUAUGAAGAAGAGGAGUAAAAACUUUAACAAUAUGUGAUUUUUUCAAAGAAAAAAAUAAAACAAUUAAUUUAAAUGUA